This 495-nucleotide ribosomal RNA is filed under the name uncultured bacterium. Its description in RNAcentral is "partial 16S ribosomal RNA". It matches the Rfam family "Bacterial small subunit ribosomal RNA", at positions 28 to 507 of the family's 1533-position model. The record is from RNAcentral.
GACGAACGCUGGCGGCGUGCCUAAUACAUGCAAGUAGAACGCUGAAGGAGGAGCUUGCUCUUCUGGAUGAGUUGCGAACGGGUGAGUAACGCGUAGGUAACCUGCCUGGUAGCGGGGGAUAACUAUUGGAAACGAUAGCUAAUACCGCAUAACAGUAGAUGUUGCAUGACAUUUACUUAAAAGGUGCAAUUGCAUCACUACCAGAUGGACCUGCGUUGUAUUAGCUAGUUGGUGGGGUAACGGCUCACCAAGGCGACGAUACAUAGCCGACCUGAGAGGGGGAUCGGCCACACUGGGACUGAGACACGGCCCAGACUCCUACGGGAGGCAGCAGUAGGGAAUCUUCGGCAAUGGACGGAAGUCUGACCGAGCAACGCCGCGUGAGUGAAGAAGGUUUUCGGAUCGUAAAGCUCUGUUGUAAGAGAAGAACGAGUGUGAGAGUGGAAAGUUCACACUGUGGCGGUAUCUUACCAGAAAGGGACGGCUAACUACGUG